UCGAGAAUCUUCGGCAAUGGGCGCAAGCCUGACCGAGCGACGCCGCGUGCGGGAUGAAGGCCUUCGGGUUGUAAACCGCUGUCAGAGGGGAGGAAAUGCCUGGUAACCCCAGGUUUGACCUAUCCUCAGAGGAAGUCCGGGCUAUGUUCGUGCCAGCAGCCGCGGUAAGACGAACCGGACGAACGUUAUUCGGAAUUAUUGGGCUUAAAGGGUGCGUAGGCGGUGUGGCAAGUUGGAUGUGAAAUCCCUCGGCUCAACCGAGGAACUGCGUGCAAAACUGCCAUGCUAGAGGGAGACAGAGGUGAGCGGAACUUGCGGUGGAGCGGUGAAAUGCUUUGAUAUAGCAAGGAACACCCGUGGCGAAGGCGGCUCACUGGGUCUUUUCUGACGCUGAGGCACGAAAGCUAGGGGAGCGAACGGGAUUAGAUACCCCCGUAGUCC
This 441-nucleotide ribosomal RNA is filed under the name uncultured prokaryote. RNAcentral's name for it is "bacterial SSU rRNA". It matches the Rfam family "Bacterial small subunit ribosomal RNA", at positions 355 to 796 of the family's 1533-position model. The record is from RNAcentral.